UCUUUUCCGUUUUGGUGUUUUCCAGAUGUAUUGAAUUGGGACAUCCAGACUGACCAGAGUUUAUAGAAAUUAUCAAAUACGGUACAUCUUAAGAGCCCCAGACUGGAGAAGGAUUACUUGAUUGCCCCGAGCAGUUUCUCCUUGUUGACUGAUCCUGGCUUGUUAAUUGGUUUGCUGAGGUCCUCUAGGAGAUGAAACAGUAGAAAAGAUGCCUAGAGAAUCAGUGGAAAAAGAUGAAAAAUGAAUCUUACCGAGCACAGAACUCUCCAUCAGUCUUCUUGCAGUGAUAGUAAUUGUAUGCGGACUUGCUCUAGUGGCAGUUUUUCUAUUCCUUUUUUGGAAGCUGUGUUGGGUUCCUUGGAGGAACAAAUCUAUUUCAACUAACACCCCCACCACUCAGAAUUUGGCAGAGCACGACAAAGACAAUAUGGCUGACAAGCUAAAAGAUACUGGGACUCUUGGAUUCUUGGAAGCAGCAGUAAAAAUCAGUCACACUUCACCAGAUAUCCCAGCAGAAGUUCAAAUGUCCAUGAAAGAUCAUCUCAUGCGACGCACACGAAUGCAGAGACAAACAACAGAACCUGCGUCUUCCACCAGGCACAUUUCUUUCAAGAGGCACCUGCCCAGACAGAUGCAUGUUUCCAGUGUGGACUAUGGCACAGAAUUCCCACUUGCAGCAGAGCAGCCCACUUGCAUUGGCCGGAUCAAGCCUGAGCUGUACAAACAGAAAUCUGUGGAUUCUGAGGACCCAAAGAAAGAAGCUGAAAAAACCUGUGGGAAAAUAAAUUUUUCUUUGAAAUAUGACUAUGAAAACGAGACUUUGAUUGUGCGGAUCCUCAAGGCUUUUGACUUGCCUGCUAAGGACCUCUGUGGCAGUUCUGAUCCCUAUGUUAAGAUCUACCUCUUGCCUGACCGAAAACGCAAAUUCCAAACACGAGUGCACAGGAAAACUCUCAAUCCCACCUUUGAUGAAUGCUUUCAGUUUCCUGUGCCCUAUGAAGAGCUGACCAACAGAAAGCUCCAUCUUAGUGUCUUUGACUUCGACAGGUUUUCCCGGCAUGACAUGAUUGGGGAGGUGAUCCUAGAGAACCUCUUUGAAGCCUCGGAUCUCUCUCGGGAGACCUCCAUCUGGAAGGAUAUUCAGUAUGCUACAACUGAAAGUGUGGACCUGGGAGAGAUCAUGUUUUCCCUUUGUUACCUGCCAACUGCAGGUCGCCUCACUCUAACAGUCAUUAAAUGCAGGAAUCUCAAAGCAAUGGAUAUAACUGGAUACUCUGAUCCGUACGUCAAAGUAUCUUUGCUCUGUGAUGGAAGGAGACUGAAAAAGAAGAAAACCACUAUAAAAAGAAAUACACUUAAUCCUACCUAUAAUGAGGCAAUAAUUUUUGAUAUCCCUCCUGAGAACAUGGAUCAAGUCAGUCUGCUUAUAUCAGUUAUGGAUUAUGACCGGGUUGGCCACAAUGAGAUUAUUGGGGUUUGUCGUGUGGCAAACAAUGCUGAGGGACUAGGCCGAGACCAUUGGAAUGAAAUGUUGGCUUAUCCACGUAAACCAAUUGCACACUGGCAUCCACUCGUAGAAGUGAAGAAAUCCUUUAAGGAGCAAUGUCCAGUAACUGGGUUGAAUGCUCCCAAGGCAGAGAUGCCUGUAGCAGAACCGUCCCAUUCCCUUCCUACUAUGAUGCUGCCUUCCUCCAAAUAUUCCAAGUGGCAUGGCCGUGCAGCCAGCUUUGAUAGUCAAGGUUCCUGCCCCUCUCCCAAACCACCUUCAACACCUUGAUCCAUCAAGUGGUGAAUAUUGGGCCUCAACCAAAUUAUUUUUCUUUUGCUCUGAUAUCUUCUCCAUGGGUCUUGAAUUCUAAUUCAACUUAUUGCUGAGUAACAGAAGAAUGGGGAUCAGACAUUCCUUGUUUCCACAGUGAAAAAAGGCACCAAGGCCUUUUACAGUGGUGUUUGUCUUAGUUAUUUUUAUCUAUCAAGGCGGUGUACUUUGUGUUUUUUCACUUUUUGGAUAUGGCUGCUAAAAAGAAGAAAAGAAAAGAAAAGAAAAAAGAAAAGAAAAAAAAGAAAAGAAAAGAAAAGGCAUAGGCUGGAACACUGGCCUAUAAAAUAAUAUGUAAAAUAGUUAUUUGUGUGUGUGUGUAAAGGAACAAAUAAUAGAGAGCUGUUGUACUUCUGCACAUCAGCAUGCAUAUUUAAAAGAGACAGAAGAAUGAAAAAUGAGAAGGCCUUGAUUAGGCUCCUUGUGACAUGUGAACACCCUUUUGUUAUUGUGAUCAGUGAGACGGUACAGCUUUUCUUAUCCAUGCUGUGAUGUUCAUGGAAUCUGUGAAAUACAGCCCAGCCUGUCCUUCUGUAUAUUUUAAAGAAUUGCUAAUUCCUCAGGGAGAAAUGAUCCAUUUUUUUGUAGUUGUGUUCUUGAAAGAGCCUUUUGCAUGAAUUCAGCUGCUUAAGGUCCUGUGAACUCCUGUGGCAGUUCUGCACUGAUUACAGAAAUGAACUUUGUCUCAGGAGACAACUAAAAGAACAUCUUUCAGUUCCUUAUGGAGGUUCUCAGUGUGACAGGAAUUGGCUGAUUUGAUCUUUGCUCAGAAACUACGUGAGCUUGGUCCUUAUUAGCAUUUGGUUGGGAGACUGCCACAGGAUAUCAGGGCUGCACAUAUCUGAAUGAAACAACAUUAAACUAUUUUCAGAUUGUUGCCAAGGGAACUAUGUGGACACAAUCAUCAAGUCACAAGGAGUUACAGCAAGUUUUACUUUCACAAUAUGCUAAAAGCCCACCCCCCAAAUCCUCAAGACAUAAAUUAAACAAGCAACAAAAUGAACUCAUGAGAUGAACAUCUUUUAAAAACAGAGAGAAAAAGACUCCAAAGCUCUGUAAAACAAUACUUUCAAUGUCAUAUUUCUGUUAUUGUUAUUAUUUAUAAAGAAAUGGUGUCUUCAAAAAGUAAAUUACUUUUAAUUUAAAAAUGAACAAAGUUUUAGGACCUGGUGGCAUUUCUGCAGUAUAUUACAAGAUCUCUCAAUAAUUUUAAUUAAAUCGCUACCCCUGGUAAUGAAUGAAAUUCAACAACAGUCAGGGGCUUCACAUGAUGGAAAGAAGCUUUUAUUUCUGUGAUUUACAAGGAAGAAAAUGAUCCAAUUUAUCAAAGUGAUAGAGCUUAUUUUCUUAUUGAAUGUACAUCACAAACUUUUUACAACAAACUUGCAAAGAGAACAUGUGAUUUUCUUGCUGAAUUAAUACGUCCUGAAAAGAUUUGAUUUGUUCCAAAGAGAUACAUGAGAGACAAUAUCAUAUACAUUGUGAACGUUGUGAUAAUAUAAAUUAGAACAGGAGAAAUGGACCUUUGUUAAUGCAGAGAAAGCUUUUGAUUAUUUCGAAUGGUCUUCCAUACUUAAAUCUCUGAAGAAGAUAAUUUUUUAUAUGAAUACAGAGUAUUUAUAAAGAAUAAGAAGGUGUUAAUAUGUUGAUGAUUUCUUAAUCACAAAAAACUACCCCAAUGAAAGGAACAAAAGCUGUAUCCUGCCUUGUUCAUUAUUCAUAGUCGUAUUGCAAAGAAGAUAUACCAAGAAAUGAAUUUUCAGGAAUUAAAUGCUGCUCAGUAACAUAAACUAAAAUUAUAUGCUGUUGAUGGGAUACUUACACUUACUAAACUAAAGGACACUUUAGAAUUGAUGAUGUUUACCUAUAUCUUUUUUAAAAAAAGAAUUGAUGAUGGAAUAUAUAUAUCAGCAUGGUUUGACUCCAUGAUAUGAGAUAAAUAAAACUCAAAUGCAGACAUA
Molecule: RNA transcript, 3780 nt
Organism: Ahaetulla prasina
Lineage: Eukaryota; Metazoa; Chordata; Lepidosauria; Squamata; Colubridae
Gene: SYT6
Gene name: synaptotagmin 6
Exons: 10
Source: RefSeq, a predicted model, not a curated record